Molecule: ribosomal RNA, 467 nt
Filed under: uncultured bacterium
Lineage: Bacteria
Description: bacterial SSU rRNA
Rfam family: Bacterial small subunit ribosomal RNA
Source: RNAcentral
GAUGAACGCUGGCGGCGUGCCUAACACAUGCAAGUCGAGCGAUCUUCUUCGGAAGAGAGCGGCGGACGGGUGAGUAACGCGUGGGUAACCUGCCCUGUACACACGGAUAACAUACCGAAAGGUAUGCUAAUACGAGAUAAUAUGCUUUUGUCGCAUGGUAGAAGUAUCAAAGCUCCGGCGGUACAGGAUGGACCCGCGUCUGAUUAGCUAGUUGGUAAGGUAACGGCUUACCAAGGCGACGAUCAGUAGCCGACCUGAGAGGGUGAUCGGCCACAUUGGAACUGAGACACGGUCCAAACUCCUACGGGAGGCAGCAGUGGGGAAUAUUGCACAAUGGGCGAAAGCCUGAUGCAGCAACGCCGCGUGAGCGAUGAAGGCCUUGGUCGUAAAGCUCUGUCCUCAAGGAAGAUAAUGACGGUACUUGAGGAGGAAGCCCGGCGUAACUACGUGCCAGCAGCCGCGGUAAU